This 112-nucleotide non-coding RNA is filed under the name Chloroflexota bacterium. RNAcentral describes it as "Chloroflexi bacterium SAM-I sequence". It matches the Rfam family "SAM riboswitch aptamer (S box leader)". From Rfam's summary of the family: The SAM riboswitch is found upstream of a number of genes which code for proteins involved in methionine or cysteine biosynthesis in Gram-positive bacteria. The SAM riboswitch acts at the level of transcription termination control. The record is from RNAcentral. Lineage: Bacteria; Bacillati; Chloroflexota.
ACCUUAUCCAGAGCGGUGGAGGGAUCGGCCCUGUGAAACCGCGGCAACCCCCGUGCCUCAGAACACGGGAAGGUGCCAACUCCGGCGGAGCUUCGGCUCUGACAGAUAAGCU